Molecule: ribosomal RNA, 468 nt
Filed under: uncultured bacterium
Lineage: Bacteria
Description: partial 16S ribosomal RNA
Rfam family: Bacterial small subunit ribosomal RNA
Source: RNAcentral
GACGAACGCUGGCGGCGUGCUUAACACAUGCAAGUCGAACGGAAAGGCCCUGCUUUUGUGGGGUGCUCGAGUGGCGAACGGGUGAGUAGCACGUGAGUAACCUGCCCUUGACUUUGGGAUAACUUCAGGAAACUGGGGCUAAUACCGGAUAGGAGCUCCUGCUGCAUGGUGGGGGUUGGAAAGUUUCGGCGGUUGGGGAUGGACUCGCGGCUUAUCAGCUUGUUGGUGGGGUAGUGACUUACCAAGGCUUUGACGGGUAGCCGGCCUGAGAGGGUGACCGGCCACAUUGGGACUGAGAUACGGCCCAGACUCCUACGGGAGGCAGCAGUGGGGAAUAUUGCACAAUGGGCGGAAGCCUGAUGCAGCAACGCCGCGUGCGGGAUGACGGCCUUCGGGUUGUAAACCGCUUUCGCCUGUGACGAAGCGUGAGUGACGGUAAUGGGUAAAGAAGCACCGGCUAACUACGUG